Molecule: transfer RNA, 84 nt
Filed under: Nectouxia formosa
Lineage: Eukaryota; Viridiplantae; Streptophyta; Magnoliopsida; Solanales; Solanaceae
Description: tRNA-Tyr
Source: RNAcentral
GGUUUAUAUCAUCUCAUGGCGGAUUGGCGAAUUAUUGGGCCGAGCUGGAUUUGAACCAGCGUAGACAUAUUGUCAACGAAUUUA